UCUCCUAGACCUAUUUAAGAGCUGGCUACCAGUAAGGAAGGAUCUCUUCUGGAGAUUGGCUCUGCUGGAGUUUUGUGAGUGAGCCCAGGAUAGUGCAUGAAUGCUGAGCAACUACCAACCUAGUCUGACUUCAACUUCACGGACAUGAAGGAUAAGGCAAGAACAUGAUCUGAUGAGGAACGGAGGAACUCCCCUGCCUCGGGAUCUGCAGAAGCAUCUGGGUUACUACACAGAUGCUUUAUGAAUGCAUACUGGCACACGUUAAUGCCUCUGAACAUAAGCUGGUACACUUUAUAAACAUGCCACUGUUUUGAGUUCUAAUGAGCAAUGCACAAAUUACCUUGCUCCUCGAGUUUAUUCAUCAUGACACUGUGUGUGGUAUCAGUGAACAGCCUGGCAGUCAAGCAGCAGUAAUAAAUGUGAAUGCUGAUUAGUUUAUUUUGACUUUGAAAUUAAA
Tympanuchus pallidicinctus (lesser prairie-chicken) is the source of this 457-nucleotide long non-coding RNA. RefSeq lists it as uncharacterized. The record is from RefSeq and is a predicted model, not a curated record. The transcript has 2 exons. NCBI's taxonomy places the organism in Eukaryota, Metazoa, Chordata, Aves, Galliformes, Phasianidae.